RNAcentral lists this ribosomal RNA (393 nucleotides) under uncultured bacterium. RNAcentral describes it as "partial 16S ribosomal RNA". It matches the Rfam family "Bacterial small subunit ribosomal RNA", at positions 523 to 918 of the family's 1533-position model. The record is from RNAcentral.
AUACGGAGGAUGCAAGCGUUAUCCGGAUUUAUUGGGUUUGAAGGGUGCGUAGGCGGUUUGCUAAGCGGGAGGUGAAAUGCCGGCGCUCAACGUCGGAAGUGCCUCCCGAACUGGUGGACUUGAAUGACUCUGCCGUGGGAGGACUGUGUAGUGGAGCGGUGAAAUGCUUAGAGAUUACACAGAACACCGAUUGCGAAGGCAUCUCACGAAGGGUUGAUUGACGCUGAGGCACGAAAGCGUGGGGAUCAAACAGGAUUAGAUACCCUGGUAGUCCACGCAGUAAACGAUGAUGGCUAACCGCUGGGCUUAUCAGUUCAGUGGCCAAGCGAAAGCGAUAAGCCAUCCACCUGGGGAGUACGACCGCAAGGUUGAAACUCAAAUGAAUUGACGGGG